UUAAAUUUUAUUUUGGUUUAGAUGAUAAGUUUAUAGUUUCUUUACAUGUAAAUUUAAGUGGUUUUUUAAUUGAUUUUAUAAAAAUUAAUUAUAUUAAUUAUUCGCAGUAUUUUAUAUUAAAAAUUAAGGAAACUUAGAUUUAGAAAUUUAUAAUAAUAUUAACUAAAUUUGUGCCAGCAGUUGCGGUUAUACAAAUAAUGUAAUUUAUCAUUUUUAGUUUGUAAUUAGUUGAAUAAAAUUUAGUAAAAAUUGUUAAUUAUUAAGUGAAAUUUUAAUUAUUAAUUAAUCUAUAAUUUAAAUUUUGAAGUUACUAAAUUUUAUUUAAAACUAGGAUUAGAUACCCUAUUAUAAAAAUGUAAAUUAUAAAAACUAAAUUAUUAAUAGUUAUAGUCUUUAAAGUUAAAAAAUUUGGCGGUAUUUUAUUCUAUUCAGAGGAAUCUGUUCUGUAAUUGAUAUUCCACGAGUAUAAUUACUUACUUUAUUAAUUUGUAUAUCGUCGUAGUUGAAUAUUUUAUGAGAAUUUAAAUAUUCAUAAUUUUAAUUUAAAAAUAAAUCAGAUCAAGGUGCAGUUUAUAGGUAAGAAGAAAUGGAUUACAAUAAAUUUAUUUUUGGAUUAGUUUUUUUAAAGAAUUAUUAAAUUGGAUUUGAAUGUAAUUUAAUUUAUAUUGGUUAAAUGAUUAAAGUUCUAAAAUAUGUACAUAUCGCCCGUCGCUCUCAUUUAAAUUGAGAUAAGUCGUAACAGAGUAAAUGUACUGGAAAGUGUAUUUAGCUUGUCA
Molecule: non-coding RNA, 776 nt
Filed under: Aleocharinae sp. 10 ACP-2013
Lineage: Eukaryota; Metazoa; Arthropoda; Insecta; Coleoptera; Staphylinidae
Source: RNAcentral